This 539-nucleotide ribosomal RNA is filed under the name uncultured bacterium. RNAcentral's name for it is "bacterial SSU rRNA". It matches the Rfam family "Bacterial small subunit ribosomal RNA", at positions 28 to 526 of the family's 1533-position model. The record is from RNAcentral.
AAUGAACGUUGGCGGCGUGGAUUAGGCAUGCAAGUCGAGCGGUAGGGAGCUGCUCACUCGCGUUCAUUUAGCCCCCGGUCAUUGACCGGGGGCUAAGUGGGCCGCGUGAGCAGCUCCUGAGAGCGGCGAAAGGGAGAGUAACGCGUAGUUACGUGCCCCGAGGUCCGGAAUAGCCACGGGAAACUGUGGGUAAUGCCGGAUGAUCUCUACGGAGCAAAGGUGUGAUUCCGCCUUGGGAGCGGACUGCGUUGUACUAGCUAGUUGGUAGGGUAAUGGCCUACCAAGGCAAUGAUGCAUAGCGGGCGUGAGAGCGUGGCCCGUCUCACUGGGACUGAGACACUGCCCAGACACCUACGGGUGGCUGCAGUCGAGAAUCUUCGGCAAUGAGCGCAAGCUUGACCGAGCGACGCCGCGUGCGGGAUGAAGGCCUUCGGGUUGUAAACCGCUGUCGUAGGGGAGGAAGGCUCCGUGAAGAACGGGGUUUGACCUAUCCUAGGAGGAAGGACGGGCUAAGUUCGUGCCAGCCGCCGCCGUAACAC